Molecule: ribosomal RNA, 251 nt
Filed under: uncultured bacterium
Lineage: Bacteria
Description: partial 16S ribosomal RNA
Rfam family: Bacterial small subunit ribosomal RNA
Source: RNAcentral
UACGAAGGGUGCAAACGUUGCUCGGAAUUAUUGGGCGUAAAGCGCACGUAGGCGGCUUUGCAAGUCGGAUGUGAAAUCCCUCGGCUUAACCAAGGAAGUGCAUCCGAAACUGCAGAGCUUGAGUACUUAAGAGGAUCGCGGAAUUCCCGGUGUAGAGGUGAAAUUCGUAGAUAUCGGGAGGAACACCAGUGGCGAAGGCGGCGAUCUGGGAAGAUACUGACGCUGAGGUGCGAAAGCGUGGGAGCAACAGG